RNAcentral lists this ribosomal RNA (468 nucleotides) under uncultured bacterium. RNAcentral describes it as "partial 16S ribosomal RNA". It matches the Rfam family "Bacterial small subunit ribosomal RNA", at positions 28 to 507 of the family's 1533-position model. The record is from RNAcentral.
GACGAACGCUGGCGGCGUGCUUAACACAUGCAAGUCGAACGGAAAGGCCCUGCUUUUGUGGGGUGCUCGAGUGGCGAACGGGUGAUUAACACGUGAGUAACCUGCCCUUGACUUUGGGAUAACUUCAGGAAACUGGGGCUAAUACCGGAUAGGAGCUCCUGCUGCAUGGUGGGGGUUGGAAAGUUUCGGCGGUUGGGGAUGGACUCGCGGCUUAUCAGCUUGUUGGUGGGGUAGUGGCUUACCAAGGCUUUGACGGGUAGCCGGCCUGGGAGGGUGACCGGCCACAUUGGGACUGAGAUACGGCCCAGACUCCAACGGGAGGCAGCAGUGGGGAAUAUUGCACAAUGGGCGGAAGCCUGAUGCAGCAACGCCGCGUGCGGGAUGACGGCCUUCGGGUUGUAAACCGCUUUCGCCUGUGACGAAGCGUGAGUGACGGUAAUGGGUAAAGAAGCACCGGCUAACUACGUG